GCCUCCCCCGGCCUCCUCCGCCCCCUACCCCUCCUCUCCACCGACCAGCUCCUCCUAGCACCCGGCCACAGCCCCGCCGGCCACCACGUCGCCACCAGCCACCUCCUCCACCUCCGGCCGGACGUGUCGAGGUGGGUCUCUCCCGGCCAUGGGGUCGGCGAGGAAGGCCUCGGUGAUGCCGAGGAUGGGGUCCUUGGGCGCCGGCUCGACGUGGCCGAGGAGAGUUCGUUUUGAAAUCUGUUGUGUCUGUUAAAUUCCCCAUCCCUGGCUCACAACUUCUCUGUGCUCGAAUCGAUUUCGUUUGUUCUGGUGCAUACAAUUCCAACAACUGUUCCAAUUGUUCCAUUCUUGCGAGAGUUCAGGAUGAGGCGGCAUGUCAAGUUAAUGAAAUGAAUAGUAAUGCGAAAGAUUUGGAGAAGAUAAUCGAUGUAUUGUCAUCUCAGAAGGCCAAGGUGGAGGGGGAUCUGAAAGAUAUGGUUAAAAUAUGCAUGGAAAAUUUGUCGUCCAUGAAUGAAUUUGAAGAUAGAGUUAGACAGAAAGUUUCAGAUCAGGCCGCAAAACUUGCUGAUCUCCAGCAGAGCGUCAAAGAUAUUGGUAGCAACUUUCAGAGACUCCAUCAUGCAUAUGAUGAUGUGUCCACAGAGGCAUCUCAGCUUGAGGUAGUCAAGAAAAAUCAUAUUGAGCGUUAAACCAACUAAAGGAGAAAAAUGCAGAAAUUUUGGACAAGCAUCACCAUUUGGAAGAGGAAAAGUUUUGUAUAAGUAAGGAUAACGCAGAGCUGCAAAAGCAUGUCCAAGAACUUGAAUUUCAGCUCAAGCUAGCCAAGCAGAAGCUUGAAGUUGCCGAAGCGGAGAGCAAAUGCAAAGAAGACAGCUAUGUGAUGGCAGUGGAAACAUCAAAAACAGAGAUCAUGCAUCUUGAAGAACAAAUACAGCUGUUCUCUGGAAGGAUUAGCUUGCUGGAAGAAACUUUUGUGCAAAUUAAAGACAGCGCCGCGUCAGUGGUCUCUAAAUUGGACAAUCAAUUGGAUGAGCUUGAAUCACACUCCAGCCAAAGCAUUACGUGCCUCAUUCACCGCUUAUCUGCUUGUGGUGGAGAGUUUAAUGUCCUUCAGAACAUGUUACACAAUUAUCUUGCUGAGCAGAAAGAACUGCUCAAGGAAAACGAAGAUCUGGCUAUUGGAUUGAGAAAGAAAGAAAAGGAAAUGUCAGAAAUGAUUAAGAGUGCUACUGAGUCAGCUGAGAAGAUUGUUCAACUUGAGAAGAUAAUUGAAGAAAAAGACGACGAGCUAGCAGCUAGAGUGCAGGAGAAAAGAUAAGCUAUCAAGCAGCUGAGUGACACAAUUGAUUACCACAAAAACAACAACGAUGAUCUGGUCCGCUACAUCCGCACUCACAACCGUCCCCGCCUUCCAUUUUGUCUGUAAAUUUGAUUACCAAAAAGUUCAUUGUCAGUCAAUAUAUAAGUUGCAUUUUAUCUGUGAACAUCAUUAGACAAUUAUUUCCAAUUUCUUUAAUGUAUCAUAAAUAGUACUCAAUACAAACAAUAAGGAGUAGUCAAAUAGCUCGUGGCCUGCGUAUUCUAUUGUCAUUGGGAGAGGUAGAAACACUUUUUGUUCCUUAUAUUUUAGCAUCCUAUUGGAAUACCAACAGAGGCUAAAGAUGCAAUAAGCAUGAGUUUGACGGACUGAAUUCAUAUUCCAAUCAGGUAAUGUGGCUUUGGUGAUUCUCUUGUUCUCCUUUUCCAUUUAAUACAUAUUUCGACAUUGUAUUUUGUUCCCUCUUUUGUUUUGCAUGUAUCAUUUGCAAUGCCAGCGUACACUCAUCCUCGAGGUUAUUACUAAUUGACUGAUAUACGAGAUAUAAAAUAUGGAGUUAACUAUUGGGCUGUAUUCAUGAAAACGUUUAUUAGUUUUGUGUCAAGAAUUUGUAGUACGCUGGACUGUCAAAAUCCUACUGCUAAAUAUGUCAUCACUUCAUUACAGUAACAUUUACCAAGUCUCUGAAAAAAAAGGUCAGGAAAGUGGGCAGCGUUCGGUUCCCUCCGAGGCUGUUCUCCGGCGUGUCUCCGACCGCCAAGGACCUGAUGAGGCGGAUGAUGUGCCGCGAUGAGUGGAGAUGGUUCUCCGCCGAGCCAGCAAAACAGCCCCGACGCAGAACUGAUUGUCUUCUACAAAAUGAUUAGAGGAGGUCGUCCCUAUCAACACGAGAAACAUGCUUGUGAUUGAGGACAGCGAGCUGACAGCCAAAUGGCCCACGCUCACCACCAUUACCAGAAGCACCAUCUCCAUAGUCAGGCCCAUCUUGAAGCACAUGGAGAUAGUGACUUUGCUGGAAUCAAAUGUACAUACAUGUAGGUAUUGCUAAACAUAUGAAGAGCUCCUCAAAUAGGAAGAUUUACAGUUUGUUAGUAUUGUGAGGUACCUGCUUUUAACUUGGUGUGUAACUAAUGUAAAAAAUGUAUAUUGGCGAUCAACUCAGUUUGAGUGGCUUAUUCUUAAAUUAUGCUUAUUGCCAUA
Long non-coding RNA from Hordeum vulgare subsp. vulgare (domesticated barley), 2518 nucleotides. RefSeq lists it as uncharacterized. The record is from RefSeq and is a predicted model, not a curated record. The transcript has 2 exons. NCBI's taxonomy places the organism in Eukaryota, Viridiplantae, Streptophyta, Magnoliopsida, Poales, Poaceae.